RNAcentral lists this transfer RNA (56 nucleotides) under Sacculina confragosa. RNAcentral's name for it is "tRNA-Ser". The record is from RNAcentral. Lineage: Eukaryota; Metazoa; Arthropoda; Thecostraca; Sacculinidae.
AAACCUAGAUUUUUUAAAAGCCGCUAACUUUUAGAGUGACAUAGUCAAUUGGUUUA